AAAAAAAAAGCUUAACUCUUUUUUCUUUGUAGAAAAAAAAUUCCUUUACUGUGCUAUAAUAAAUAGAACAAGAAGGAAUUUAAGGUGUCCUUUGUUUCUGGCGGGGUUUCUUGACUCUCAUGCAAGAACAAGACCCAAUUUGAUUAGAUUGAAAUUUACUGAAAGGAAGAUGUGAUGUUGAUAAUUAAGAAAUUAUAUGGUGCUUGAGGGAAGAUGGAUACUUAAUUGGAGUCUUGACCACAGAGAAUUUCAAAAGUGAAAAAACUUCUACAAAUGUCCCCCUAUGUGAGAUAUUAUUGCUACCAAACGACCCAUGUUCAAGUGUAAAUGGCAACAGGAAGAACAUAUGCACAAUUAUGGGCACCUAUUGGCCAUUUUGUGUUCCUCGUGCUUAUGAACCAGGGAUUUCUAAUUUGCAGCAACUCUGAUUUGUAAAUUCAUUUCAUUCUAUUUUAUUCAUUCCUACUUCUAGUAGCACUGGAGGAUAUUGCUGAAAUAUUAUGUCUUAAUAUUUUAGUGUGUAUGAAAUUUUUAUUUGAUAAUUUGAAAGAUUCAAAUUAUCAAAUGAGGAAUAAAGCAAUUAAUGAUGUUGGGCGCUUUGAUAGUGUUGAAUCACCAGUAUUGGUUUGCAAUGAUGAGUUCAUUUGUAAACUUAAUAAGCAUUGGAGAGAUGAGGAUAAACCUACUGAUUCCCUUUAAUAUCUUAACAUAUACCUGAACUUGAGCUUUCAGUUGUAAGAAAAUGCUUCAAUAUUUGCAUGUCACACCUCAUUUAACAUAGAUGACUAAGACCCUGUCCAACUAUUAAUAUUGGGAGACAUUGUGAUUUCAGGGGAGACAACAUCAAGGCAAGCAGAGGAAAUGGGUCAUAGUUUACUGGACAAGAUGCCCAUCUUAUCAAUAAGUUUUUGACAUACUUCUGAACAAUCUUUGUAUGCUGAUUUAAAUCCAAGUUGUCUUAUAGUUAUGACCCAUUCCUAUGCCUAAUUUAUGGCGCAAUCUGUUGUCAUGUCUGAAUAUUGUCCCCUUAAAAGAAAAGUUGAUACUCACUCUAAAUGUCAAUAUAUUUUUCACGACAAAUACCCUUGAUUUUAUAUUAAGUAGUCCAUCAAUUGGUGUUCAUUAAAUAUGGACAUGCAUCAUUUCUUUCGCUCUUUUAUUUUGGUUGUUUGUUUAAUAUGAAGUUGCUUUUAUGUAGUCAUGUGGUUAUAGAUUUAAAGCCUUUUAGGUUUUCAUGGUCCUGAAGUAGGAAGGACGUUAAUAUAGUUUGACCCGA
Molecule: long non-coding RNA, 1276 nt
Organism: Capsicum annuum
Lineage: Eukaryota; Viridiplantae; Streptophyta; Magnoliopsida; Solanales; Solanaceae
Exons: 4
Source: RefSeq, a predicted model, not a curated record